Long non-coding RNA from Panthera uncia (snow leopard), 1233 nucleotides. RefSeq lists it as uncharacterized. The record is from RefSeq and is a predicted model, not a curated record. The transcript is spliced from 4 exons. Lineage: Eukaryota; Metazoa; Chordata; Mammalia; Carnivora; Felidae.
GACCCAGGCUGACCCCCAGGUGAGGUGGCUAGCACAAUCUCACACAUGGCCCUGACAGCUGGAGUAGGAAGGACUACAGCAUAUAGACCCAGGGACAAAGAGAAGCUGCAUGUACUGGAGAGAAGCAGGCCGGGGAAGUGCGGCAGCAGUGAGAGGCCGAUCAAUCUCCACUUUACAGCUGACAGAAUGGUGCUAAUAACUUAUUGAUCUCAGCCACCUCGCUGCCAUUGGCCUGGGCUCGGCAGCCCAACCCCUGCCCUGGGAGACGAGGUCCUCGCUGCUUGGUUGAAGGGUCCCCACCUCAGUGACCUGGCAGGACAGGUAGGGGGCACAACCAGCAUGAGGGCCAGCCCCCAACAGCCUUGGGGCCUCAGGGCAGGAGGGCCACAACACCCAGCUGUGCUGGGCCUGGAAGUGGCUUUGGGCUGGGUCCACACCCCAUCCUGCAUACACCCCUUCUGGGUUUAGCAAAGAACCCAGCACCCUCACUUCCCUGAGUUCUGUUUCCCAUUUUCCACAGUGGAACCUCCCCUUCCCCUUUCUCUUGGGGGAUGAAGGCUCCCCUCUGUCUGGGGGAGGUGCUGCUGGAGGCAGAAGGGCCCACAGUGAGACUCAGCCCCGGGACUACAGUAAGAUCCCGCCAUGGAGAUCUGGGGGCCCACCAGUCCCUGAUGAGGGCCACACUCACUCAUAGACCCACAUACACAGUUGUAAGAUGCCAGCACGGACCCCAGCUGAGCCCCUCACAGUCCUCCGCGGCCCUUCCUGUCUAGGAUCCAGGGAAGGACCAGGGCUGGGGUUGUGGGAAUAAGAUUGACAAGCGGCUCCCGGAGAAGCAAGAGGAGGUGACGGCAGGCAAAUGUCUCCACCCAAGGGCCCACAGGCACAAGUGGAAGCCAAUGGGGGACUGCAGCCCCGAGGAGAGGGCAAACUCUGACAAAACCUGGGCACGGCGCACACAUGUGACACUCCAUGCAGAGCACCUGUGACCCCUGACACGCUUGUACGCCCGUCUCAGCGUAAAGUGAGAGUGAGGACACAGCUCCUCACCUGCAGCUCCCAGGCCGAUCUCCACACCACCUCUCUGGAAUUCACAGCGGCUCUGAUGCUCGGGCAUAACGAGGUGGCGGCUACGAUGGACGCUGGAUAUGAGGGUGGGCAGGUCACUGUCCUGGCUGUUGUGAAGCAAGACAGCGAGGCUCAAUCCUACAGCACAGAGUCCCAGAGAAAACA